UACGUAGGGUGCGAGCGUUAAUCGGAUUUACUGGGCGUAAAGCGUGCGCAGGCGGUUGUGUAAGACAGAUGUGAAAUCCCCGGGCUUAACCUGGGAACUGCAUUUGCGACUGCACGGCUAGAGUGUGUCAGAGGGGGGUAGAAUUCCACGUGUAGCAGUGAAAUGCGUAGAUAUGUGGAGGAAUACCGAUGGCGAAGGCAGCCCCCUGGGAUAACACUGACGCUCAGGCACGAAAGCGUGGGGAGCAAACAGG
Molecule: ribosomal RNA, 253 nt
Filed under: uncultured bacterium
Lineage: Bacteria
Description: partial 16S ribosomal RNA
Rfam family: Bacterial small subunit ribosomal RNA
Source: RNAcentral